GUGCUCACUUUGCAGCACAUAUACUAAAAUUGGAACAAUACAGAAAUUAGCAUGGCCCCUGUGCAAGGAUGACACACAAAUUCAUGGAGUGUCCCGUAUUUUU
Molecule: small nuclear RNA, 103 nt
Filed under: Dasypus novemcinctus (nine-banded armadillo)
Lineage: Eukaryota; Metazoa; Chordata; Mammalia; Cingulata; Dasypodidae
Source: RNAcentral